UAAGGGGCGCUGUAAGGGCGACACCUGGCGGCGAGGAGGUAGACUGCAGGCGGCGCUCUGCACCAGUGCACGGGGUCUCCCCCACGCCUCCCCCGUCGCAGGGGCAUAUAGUCAUCAGCUGGGUAUAGAGCGUUAGCAUUGCACGGGGGUGCAGCCAAAAUACCCGCAAGUACGCGCCAAUACGGUCAUUCCUGGCACCUUCCUGGUCACCCUGCAGCCUUUAGAGCUUUAUUUCCUUACAGUACACAGGAACCACAUAAAAAGGAGGCAGCCAUCUUGGGCGCACUACAGCGAUUACAGUGGGUGAAUCCAAAAUACGAAAUUCAAGCAUAAGAUACAGGAUGCCUCCAGAGACAUCAGUUCUGUGGAUCACCAGAAAACAUCACCGCAUCCCCGGGGAUCCAUUCUCCCACCUCUGCAGCCACCUGGACUAGGAUAUCUGUCUGCAUUUCCAGUUAUGACUAUCUGCUGGGUCUGGUGUCUACAGCUAUACA
This is a long non-coding RNA of Pseudophryne corroboree (corroboree frog), 494 nucleotides long. RefSeq lists it as uncharacterized. The record is from RefSeq and is a predicted model, not a curated record. The transcript has 4 exons. NCBI's taxonomy places the organism in Eukaryota, Metazoa, Chordata, Amphibia, Anura, Myobatrachidae.